UUGUUUGUUUUUUUUUUUUUUUUUUCUAAAUUAAUUAAUCACUGGCUUGUUGUGAUAGAAAAACAUGAGGAAGACGACACUGCCAGGGACCAGAUCAUCGAUAGUUACAUCAAAACCCAAGCUAUGGUUGUUGGAAGAGUGAGUGCUCCGCGGUAUCGGAUGUUGCCAACGCAGACAAAUUUGAAUAUGCCUCCACUUCCUUCCAAUAUGACGGAAAAGGUUCUUCCAGUUGCAGCAACACAAUCAAAGACCAAUGGGGGUGAAUGAUGGGAGGAGCAUCGAUCCAUCUGAGCUGCAAGAGAAGUUGACCGACUUAGUCAUCCGGACUUCAAGUUAGAUCCCCUUUUAAUUUUUGUUUCUCUGAUGUUUUUGUUUUCAAACUAGAAUGGGGGCUUUGAGUUGGAUUUUGAAGUGUGAACUUGUGGUGCUUAUGGGGGCUACUUUCUACUCUUGGGAAGUUUGUUGUCUAUAUUUUUGGGAUAGUCUUGGUUUUACAUGUUAUCUGUUUAAGUUUUUAUCAGUGGAAGAAAUCACUUUUCUGAAAAGUGUCUUCAUCAAACGUCUCCUGACCUACCAUUCCUUGUUCAUCCACAACAUGUGAAUCCAUCCCACACUCGGCUCUGAACUUGGAGAGCUCUCACUGCAUCACCAUGAUGGAAGCCGUUAACAACGGCAAGGAUCUUCACGUCUCUGUCACCAUGCCUUCCAUUGAGGUGAGGACAGUCUCAAGGGAGCAAGUAAAAGCACUAAGGAAAGCUAUUGAUGAUGUAAGUUGCAAUGGUUUACUUUGAAUAGUUUCUCCAUGCAAACUACAUUUUCAGAGGCAACUUAAAGAAAUGUUUUAGAGAGUUUGAAGUUGAAGCUAGAAAAAAGAAAGUUUGAAGAUGGGGUCGUGGUUGUGCUUUUUGAAUUUCCUUAGCUGAUGUGAAAACUUCUAAUACAUUUUGAUGGAUUCUUUUGAGGAAACUUGUGGUUGUGUUCACUAUUUUUGUGAAAAAUUAUUUUCAUUGUGUAUACUUCUUUUGUAAAAACUUGGUGUUCAGUACAGUAUUAUCUAUUAGUAGACAUGCAAUUUGGAUGGUA
This is a long non-coding RNA of Cornus florida, 1083 nucleotides long. RefSeq lists it as uncharacterized. The record is from RefSeq and is a predicted model, not a curated record. Lineage: Eukaryota; Viridiplantae; Streptophyta; Magnoliopsida; Cornales; Cornaceae. The transcript is spliced from 6 exons.